CUGUAGGCAAACCCUGUAAGUACGGAAUAAGCGCGCAGGCACCAGGCAGGCAUAACAUGCAGUGUCGUACGGGUAUGAGAAGCGUGGUGGCUGUCCUGGACAAAAGUUAAACGCACAAAGUAACGCUUCCCGACAUCAGCAGCCAUUUGCAAGCUGGCGAAACUACUGCAACUCCUUAACAUCGAUUCUCGGGACCUUCUUCAUCCGUGCGAAACUAUCCAGGCGGCACCAGACGACAAGCAGGCAGGAACCCACCUUGGAAGGGACGCCAGCAGAACUAAAGACCCGUCUCAAAUACAGUUGUGUAGACCAUGCCUGCCAUGAUGAUAUUCCCCCCAAUCCAUAAGAGAGCAAAUAGCCUGGAAUGGUUCCUGAAGUUCAGAGAAGACCACCACGUCUGCUCAUCCACCUUGUGUGCACCACGCAGAAUAAAAGCAGAUCCAGUUGGUCUCCUGAAUACGCCAACCAGAUGCCACUUUCCAUGGAGGCUGAUGUCCAGCAGCAGGCAAAUGUGACUAAGACAGAAGGGAUGGUUAAAGGAUGCCAAUCUCUUUGCAAUUUUCCUUUUUGUUUUAUAACCUAUCUAAGUUACCUCCCAACUGAGGAUUCCUGAUAAACUUUCUUUUUUGAAGGUUUAAAUCAACAGAACUUCUGCCCCUAUCGUUCUGCAUUUGCUUUAACUUGUUUAACAAGCUUCCUUUCCUUAAAAACACAGAUUCUGGUAAAGUGAGCCUCCUGAUAUGACCAAAGGUGAGCUAAUUAUCCAGAUGAUUCAUUUAUUCUUUUCAGACCUGCCAAUUGCAUUGCUGCAACAUAAAUUUUCCUAAUGCUGUCAUUUUUACUAAAGGGUGGCAAUCCAGAAGGUGUCAUUGAGAAUGAUUCUCAGGUUGUCAAACACUGGGUAAUAAUAAGAAAGAAAUAAACAGGUCUACUAGCCGCUGUAUUCCAUCACGUUCAGGGACGGUUGCUCUGCAGAUCACCUCAGAUUUCAAAACACCGGUGGUGUGUGGAUCCGGGGAUAGGUCUGAUAUCAGAAAGAUUUUUUUUUUUCUAAAAGAAUUUUAUUUCCCAUUUCAGUACAGACAAUACAUUUCAGUCAAUUAGAUUUAAAGUGGACACCACAAAGUAGGAAUUGCAUGAAUGUGAACUCCUUGUUGUCCUGUUGUUAUUCCUGAAGAUUCAUGCAACUCCUUAAAGGAAUCCGCUCCCCAGAAAUGAUACCAUUUAUUGGUUGCUUACCCCAUGUGUUUUGUAAUAAUGAGUUAAAACUUUAACAAAUGUUUAAAAAGUGAGGUAGAGUAGUGACCAACAGCAAACAAUAUAAAAAAAAAUCAAAUUCCCAUUUCCUGUAUUGCGUAAUCCACGUGUCAGCUAUCCAGGACUCAUAGCAUGCAGAACACGUGCAUUUUAUGCUAAAAUACCAUUCAGUGUUUAUAUAAUACUAUAUUGUCUGGUCAAGAGUCCUGUCUUCAUUUGUAAAGCACAGUAUUGUGAGAAAGUGUUUCUCAUUCAUGAUGUGUGCUGAUUUUUCCAGAAUUGUCUAUUUUUUGAGCAUAAAAUCCACGCGUCUUGCAUGUGGUGAGCAAACAAUUGGAUACGUGACCCGAGUAACACGAGAUUUCGUUUUCUUUUAUUCCCAUCGUUUGCCGUUGUAUAACCUUAGUCUCAAUUUAAUAUCAAAAACGUUUUAUUGUUGUUGUCCUGAAAACAUGGGAUUUCAUUUUUUCUUUCUUGGUCCUCAUUGCACAACACAUAUAAAAAAAAUGUUAAGUAGAUGUUUUAAAGAUGAUUUUAAAAUAAUGAGAAAUGGUGUGCCUGGUGGAAAGUUUCAUUUUUGGAAGUGAAUGAGUGUCUUGAAACUUUAAAGAGCUGGUGUGAUUCCUGGCACAAGGAAACCCCAAUGGGGGCAUCAAAACGCACUAUGGUUUUAUGUUUGAAAUGGUUUUAUCUGGACGUUAUUUUUAUUUGCCAUUACCAUGUACUUGCAGUCUACAAGGUAACUUCGCAGAGCAAAGUCUGGACCUGGCCUGACACAUUACCCGACUAACGCAUGUCCUCUUCAUAUCCAGAUGGGUUUCUGCAGAGACAUGCAGGUUACUUGGAUGUGUGUGUGUGUGUGUGUGUGUGUGUGUGUGUGUUCACCCUGGCAUCCUGUCCAGGUAUUGUUCCUGCCUUGUGCCCUUAGCUUGCUGGGUUGGGCUUCAGCUUCCCAGUGAUCCUGCUUGGGAUUAAACAGGUUUAGAAAAUGGAUGGAUGGAUUUAUUGCCAGAAUAUGUGCAUGAUGUUAUUGUGUUCACAAUAAUGAUUGCUUAAAUGAUACCUUAUUGGCAUGACAUCAUCAUCCUCAUCGUUAUUCAAAUCAGAGUUGCCCGGGGUGUUGCCUACCCCAUGGGCAUUAGACACAUGGCAGGAAACAGCGCCAGACAGGAUGCCGCUUCAUUAUGAGCGGGUAACAUCAGAUUUACACUGUAGUGACAUCAAAAUGAGGAAGAGGAAGCUUUUGCGUGUUUCGUUUCUUUUUAUGUUGCAGCAAUGCAAAGCAAAAUCAUAAUAAUUGUUAGGGAAAUGGGGGCACACACUUUCGCCUCAGGAAUUCAUAUGAGUGAACCGCUUUUGCAGCUUAGGUUUGUAUUUUUUACAGACUGUAGUGCCUUUUAAUGGAGGCAAAUCAUAUGCAAAUGGUUUUAUGUUUAUUGUUCACAUUGUGAAUGAAUGCAUUUGUGAAAAUUAUGGUUUACAAGUUUACAAUUCAUUUGUAUUAGUAUUAUUAUGAUGUGUAUGAGAUGUUCUUCAUUUCAAGCGUUGCAUACUCUAUUUGUAUUUAUUUGUGUGGUGUAAUGACAUUUGUUCAUUUUAAGUAUUAAUAAUGAGUAUGUAAAUGCAGUCACUAGCAGUAGGACAUUAUGUGUUUAGUUAAUUAAGCUCAGCACAUCAAUGGUGUAAUUGAUGAGCUGUUGAGCAGUAAAUGCAUGUGACAUGCGUAUUGUACGGUUUGAUGUUAAGUAUGUAGUUGAUGUCUGUUGACGCUCUGCAUACACUUGUGUCCAUACUGUGUAUUGGUAAUAAAUGGAGUGCCAAAGCGCACUCCUUGCACUGCAAACGGAUUACUGUUUACAGCCCAAAGUGCCCUUAUUGUGCAUAGUAAAGCAAUAUUGUGCAUAUAUGGUGCCACUGAAAGGGCCAAAUUCAAAUGGAGAGCUGGGUCUUGGAAAUCUUUUCCUGGGAUCCUUUGCUGCCAUCCAGAGAUCUUCAUACGUCUUAUGAAAUUAGCCUCUUGCUUUGGUGCCACCUGGAAUGUUUUGUGUCCCCUCUGGUGGCCACUGCUUUCCCACACUGAGCCUUGAAUUGGUUCUCCAGACGCCCGCGUUGGCUUGUUUCAUAAGUAGCCCACCCGGCUGGUAACUUCUGUCAGUUGGGGAAGCUGUCACGGUGGAUACCCUGUGGCUAACAGGUCACAGCUAACUGUGGAUUGAGGGUGGAGUACUAAGUCGAGAUCAGUCCAUUCUGCCUUGUCCCGUGAGAGUGUACAUCCCGAUUGUACUUGUUUGGUGUUAUUCGAUUGUCAUUUUUCACUUGUUGACUCUUCUCUGUUUCUGUGUUUGAAUUGUCUCCCUCAUGAAGAAACGGUGUAAUGAGCAGUUCUUUUUUUUUUCCAUGACUGCUCACUAGAGGAUCCAUCCUCAUAAUGUUCUGGCCUUUUCUCACACUACGACUGUCCCAAUUUACUUCCUCAAUACUGUAGAAGGCACCUUGAAUUUGUUUUUCUUGUUUUUCUCAUAUUUGUUUUCAAAUCCAUUUUGUUUUGUUCCCUUUACUUUACCUUCGCUGUUUCAUUUGUCUGUUGACUCUUCAAUAAACUGUAAAACUUAACUGUAAAA
Polypterus senegalus (gray bichir) is the source of this 3878-nucleotide long non-coding RNA. RefSeq lists it as uncharacterized. Lineage: Eukaryota; Metazoa; Chordata; Cladistia; Polypteriformes; Polypteridae. The transcript has 4 exons. The record is from RefSeq and is a predicted model, not a curated record.